RNAcentral lists this ribosomal RNA (173 nucleotides) under Polyporus tricholoma. RNAcentral describes it as "partial 28S ribosomal RNA". It matches the Rfam family "Eukaryotic large subunit ribosomal RNA", at positions 1 to 171 of the family's 3401-position model. The record is from RNAcentral. Lineage: Eukaryota; Fungi; Basidiomycota; Agaricomycetes; Polyporales; Polyporaceae.
UGACCUCAAAUCAGGUAGGACUACCCGCUGAACUUAAGCAUAUCAAUAAGCGGAGGAAAAGAAACUAACAAGGAUUCCCCUAGUAACUGCGAGUGAAGCGGGAAAAGCUCAAAUUUAAAAUCUGGCGGUCUUUGGCCGUCCGAGUUGUAGUCUGGAGAAGUGCUUUCCGCGCU